RNAcentral lists this ribosomal RNA (426 nucleotides) under uncultured bacterium. Its description in RNAcentral is "bacterial SSU rRNA". It matches the Rfam family "Bacterial small subunit ribosomal RNA", at positions 355 to 774 of the family's 1533-position model. The record is from RNAcentral.
UCGAGAAUCUUUCACAAUGGGGGAAACCCUGAUGGAGCGACGCCGCGUGGAGGAUAAGGUCUUCGGAUUGUAAACUCCUGUCAUGCGAGAGCAAGAUUGGUCAUUUAAUAGGUGAUUAAUUUGAUAGUAUCGCAAGAGGAAGAGACGGCUAACUCUGUGCCAGCAGCCGCGGUAAUACAGAGGUCUCAAGCGUUGUUCGGAAUCACUGGGCGUAAAGGGUGCGUAGGUGGCGUGGUAAGUCAGAUGUGAAAGCCCAGGGCUCAACCCUGGAAUUGCAUCCGAUACUGCCGUGCUAGAGAACUGAAGGGGAGUCUGGAAUUCUCGGUGUAGCAGUGAAAUGCGUAGAUAUCGAGAGGAACACCAAUGGCGAAGGCAAGACUCUGGGCAGUUUCUGACACUGAGGCACGAAGGCCAGGGUAGCGAACG